Molecule: ribosomal RNA, 452 nt
Filed under: uncultured bacterium
Lineage: Bacteria
Description: bacterial SSU rRNA
Rfam family: Bacterial small subunit ribosomal RNA
Source: RNAcentral
ACUCCUACGGGAGGCAGCAGUGGGGAAUAUUGCACAAUGGGCGCAAGCCUGAUGCAGCAACGCCGUGUGAGUGAAGAAGGUUUUCGGAUACGUAAAACUCUGUCCUAAGGGAAGAAACAAAUGACGGUACCUUAGGAGGAACGCCCCGGCUAACUACGUGCCAGCAGCCGCGGUAAUACGGUAGGGGCAAGCGUUAUCCGGAAUCACUGGGCGUAAAGGGUGCGUAGGCGGCUUAGCAAGCCAGGGGUGAAAGGCAUUGGCUCAACCAAUGUAAGCCUUUGGAACUGUUAGGCUUGAGUGCAGGAGAGGUAAGUGGAAUUCCUAGUGUAGAGGUGAAAUUCGUAGAUAUUAGGAGGAACACCAGUGGCGAAGGCGACUUACUGGACUGUAACUGACGCUGAUGCACGAAAGCGUGGGUAGCGAACAGGAUUAGAUACCCUGGUAGCGACUGA